This 254-nucleotide ribosomal RNA is filed under the name uncultured bacterium. RNAcentral describes it as "partial 16S ribosomal RNA". It matches the Rfam family "Bacterial small subunit ribosomal RNA", at positions 524 to 776 of the family's 1533-position model. The record is from RNAcentral.
UACGUAGGAUGCAAGCGUUGUCCGGAUUUACUGGGCGUAAAGCGCGCGCAGGCGGCAUGGUAAGUAAGGUGUGAAAUCCAUCUGCUCAACGGGUGGGGUGCAUUUUAGACUGCCAAGCUUGAGGUCGGUAGAGGGGGGGUAGAACUGCUGGUGUAGCGGUGAAAUGCGUAGAGAUCAGCAGGAAUACCCGUGGCGAAGGCGGCCCCCUGGGCCGUACCUGACGCUGAGGCGCGAAAGCUAGGGGAGCGAACGGG